CCUGAGCAGGUCAGGGUGGAGCUCUUAUUCUGAUGCCUUUGGCCACAAAUACCAGAGAAAACAUUUUCCGAAGGAUACGGACAAAGUCCAGGAACUGUUCUAGAACUUGGAACAUGUUAUAAGGUCGUUUACUAUGAGGAUGUUCAUUGUACUGAUUUUUCUUUCGCAACUUUGCCUUUGGAAUACUUCCAUAGGAUGCUAUUCCUGACUCUGAUCAAAGUAGACACUCAGCUGGCAGAGAGGAGAAGCAGCGGGACAUCAGGACUAUGGCUGGACGUCAGAGAGAAGCAGCUUAACUUCAGAGGUGCAGCUUGAUGGUGUAACUUAGGAGAAGAAUCUGACUGGAGACGGCCAGACUUCAGAAGAAGAUGACCUACCCCCCCAUCCCCUUUUCAGCUUCCCUUCCCGCUGAGAGCCACUUUUAUUGGCAAUAAAAUCCUCCACAUUUACCAC
This 453-nucleotide long non-coding RNA is filed under the name Homo sapiens (human). Its description in RNAcentral is "HSALNT0302839". The record is from RNAcentral. Lineage: Eukaryota; Metazoa; Chordata; Mammalia; Primates; Hominidae.